UGGGGGAUAUUGCACAAUGGGCGAAAGCCUGAUGCAGCGACGCCGCGUGGGGGAUGAAGGCCUUCGGGUUGUAAACUUCUUUUGCUCUGAACAAGGCAUGCCUUUGGGGUGUGUUGAGUGUAGGGGUUGAUUAGCGCCGGCUAACUACGUGCCAGCAGCCGCGGUAAUACGUAGGGCGCGAGCGUUGUCCGGAAUUAUUGGGCGUAAAGGGCUUGUAGGUGGCUGGUUGCGUCUGUCGUGAAAGCUCAUGGCUUAACUGUGGGUUUGCGGUGGGUACGGGCUGGCUUGGGUGCAGUAGGGGAGGCUGGAAUUCCUGGUGUAGCGGUGGAAUGCGCAGAUAUCAGGAGGAAUACCGGUGGCGAAGGCGGGUCUCUGGGCUGUUACUGACGCUGAGGGGCGAAAGCGUGGGGAGCGAACAGG
Molecule: ribosomal RNA, 420 nt
Filed under: Fusobacteriota bacterium
Lineage: Bacteria; Fusobacteriati; Fusobacteriota
Description: Fusobacteria bacterium partial 16S ribosomal RNA
Rfam family: Bacterial small subunit ribosomal RNA
Source: RNAcentral